RNAcentral lists this ribosomal RNA (284 nucleotides) under uncultured Pseudomonas sp. RNAcentral's name for it is "partial 16S ribosomal RNA". It matches the Rfam family "Bacterial small subunit ribosomal RNA", at positions 200 to 469 of the family's 1533-position model. The record is from RNAcentral. Lineage: Bacteria; Pseudomonadati; Pseudomonadota; Gammaproteobacteria; Pseudomonadales; Pseudomonadaceae.
GAGAAAGCAGGGGACCUUAGGGCCUUGCGCUAUCAGAUGAGCCUAGGUCGGAUUAGCUAGUUGGUGAGGUAAUGGCUCACCAAGGCGACGAUCCGUAACUGGUCUGAGAGGAUGAUCAGUCACACUGGAACUGAGACACGGUCCAGACUCCUACGGGAGGCAGCAGUGGGGAAUAUUGGACAAUGGGCGAAAGCCUGAUCCAGCCAUGCCGCGUGUGUGAAGAAGGUCUUCGGAUUGUAAAGCACUUUAAGUUGGGAGGAAGGGCAGUAAGUUAAUACCUUGCU